GAUGAACGCUGGCUACAGGCUUAACACAUGCAAGUCGAGGGGAAACGACGGGGAAGCUUGCUUCCCCGGGCGUCGACCGGCGCACGGGUGAGUAACGCGUAUCCAACCUGCCUCUGACUGAGGGAUAACCCGUCGCAAGUCGGCCUAAUACCUCAUGGUAUCGUCUGCGGGCAUCCAACGCCGCUUAAAGAUUUCAUCGGUCAGGGAUGGGGAUGCGUCUGAUUAGCUUGGUGGCGGGGUAACGGCCCACCAAGGCUACGAUCAGUAGGGGGUCGGAGAGGAAGGUCCCCCAGAUUGGAACUGAGACACGGUCCAAACUGCUACGGGAGGCAGCAGUGAGGAAGAUUGGUCAAGGGGCGAGAGCCUGAACCAGCCAAGUAGCGGGCAGGAAGACGGCCCUAUGGGUUGUAAACUGCUUGUAUGCGGGGAUAAAGUGAGGGACGUGUCCCUCAUUGCAGGUACCGCAUGAAUAAGGACCGGCUAAUUCCGUG
RNAcentral lists this ribosomal RNA (491 nucleotides) under uncultured bacterium. Its description in RNAcentral is "partial 16S ribosomal RNA". It matches the Rfam family "Bacterial small subunit ribosomal RNA", at positions 28 to 507 of the family's 1533-position model. The record is from RNAcentral.